UUGUCAUUAGAAAUGAAUGGGUUCAUGUUUGAUUACAUGCUUGUGUAUGCUCAUAAAUUUAUGACUUCCUUUUUUUUUUUUUUUUGGAUAAACGAGUGAAAAUUUAUACUCAUUCUGACUUGCGUGUACAAAUAUUUCACAAGUAUAAUCCAUUACAUAUACAGAUUUACCUCCAUUUUCAGAAGUACACGAACAUUCGGAUGCUGAUAUCCUUGCAUGUUGUUAGUUCCUAGAAGAGUUGAUUAGGUGAAUGAUUUUGAUGACCCAUUACAAAAAUGAUUGCCCAUUCAGGCUUCUCUAUAUUUUAGGAGAAUAAUCUCAUAAUUCCUAAAAUAGCCUCAUCUAGAUGGGUAUAUUACAAAUAGCAUAACAUAAGAACGACAUUCUAUGGCACAUAGUUAAAAGAGGGAGAUAAAAACAUGAAAAUCUUCCACGACAUCACAAACACUAGGGCAAGGAGCAAUCGGAUUUGUAGUGUUAUGGAGAAUGGCAAAAGGGUGGAUGACAAAAGUCAGGUUUGUGAUACCAUCCUACAGUUCUACAAAUAGCUUUUAGAAGAUGAAGAUGGAAGAGGCUUAGAUCAGACGACUUGUCAUUCAAUCAGAUCUCUUUGGCGGAAGCGGAAGAUCUUGAAAAGCCUUUUUCCAUGAAGGAAAUUAAAGAGGAUGUGGACUUCUUGGUGGCGGACAACGCAUUGUGGUGGACUAUUUUUUGAUCGCUCUGUACCAAAUCUUUUGGGAGGUUGUGAAAGUAGAUGUGUUCAAUUUUAUUUUUGAGGUCAGUGACAGAGGCCGACUAUCCUUGGAGUUGGGAGCUUCCUUUAUCGCCAUCUUCCUGGAGAUUGAGGGUGCUGAGAGUCUUUGGGACCUUAGGCCUAUCAGUUUGAUCUAGCAAUUUGAUUGGCAACCCCUAGAAGAUUUUAGCUAAAAUUUUGGCUUCAAGGUUUAUGGGUGGCGCUUGACCAGGUUGUCUUAGAGACGUAGGGUGCCUUUGUAGUUGGAAAGGCAAAUCUUGGAUAGCGACAUAGCAUGCUCAUUGUCCAUGAGACGUAGGGUGGUGCUUGACUAGGCUGUCUCAGAGACAUAGGGUGCCUUUGUAGCUAGAAAGGCAAAUCUUAGAUAGCAUGCUCAUUGUCCAUGAGUGUCUCGAUGCUCGCAAUAGAGAAAAAGAAGGGCAUUGUGUGUAAGUUAGACAUAGAGAAGGCUUAUGACCACAUUUGUUGGGAAUUUCUUGACUACAUGUUGGAAAGACUAGGUUGCGGGUCCAAGUGGCGGAGGUGGAUGCAAGAGUGUGUUAGGUCAGUGAAAUUCUUUGUGCUAGUCAAUGGCUCUCCAAAUGGUUGUUUUAAGGCAUCUGGAGGUCUAAGGUAGAGGGAUCCGCUUUCUCUUUUCCUAUUUGUGGAGGCGGCAGAGGCAUUGAGUAGGAAACUGAGUCGGGGUCAAGCAAUUGGUUAAGUGGCUUUAGGGUGGGCAGAGGAGAUCUUCAAAUUUUGCAUCUUCAAUUUACCGAUGAUACCAUUCUUUUGCGGCAUAGAGGAAGAAUAUGUGGAUAACUUAAGAAAAUUAGUAAGAUGUUUUGAAGUGGUCUCCGUUCUUAAAGUGAACAUGGCCAAGAGUGAAAUGUUAGGAGCGGGCACAUCCAAGGAGGAGGUGGAUCACUGGGCUACGGUUUUUGGGUGUCGGGCUGGUUCCUUCCCGACAACAUAUUUGGGGCUUUUGCUUUGCAUUUGAAAGCCUGCGAAACACAUGUGAGAGAGAGAGAGAGAGAGCCAACAUCUUUCUUUGCGUGGGAGGCUCACAUUGAUUAAGCCUCUUUAUCUAAUAGUUCCCUCUAUUAUCUCUCUCUUCAAAUGAAUGGUGUCUAUGUUGAGUAGGUUUGAUAAGUGGAGGAGAGAUUUUUUUUUUUUUGGUGGCAAUGAGGGGAAGAGAAGUAGAAGUUUCAUCUCUUAAAUUGGGAGGAGGUGUGCAAGGCAUACUGGGAAGGAGUAAAAAAUCUAGCAUUGGUGAAUUGAACACUUCUUGGAAAAUGGGUUUGGAGAUUUGUCAUGGAGGAAGGAAGAUUGUGGAGGGAGGUUAUAGCUAGUAAAUAUGGAGUUUAGGAUGGGGUUUGGUGGGUAAAGGAGUUGUCGAUAUACAUGGCAUUGGGCUUUUGGAGAGGGGUUGCUAGAAUGACCGACACUAUCAAGUAAGGUGUGCGCUUUGCUUGUGGGGAUGGCAGAAGGAUAUAUUUUUGGGAGGAAUAUGUGUUUGGGGAAAGACCUCCUAGGGAAGUAUUCUUGAGGCUUUCCAUUUUGGCCUUGGAUGUGGGAGUAACUGUCAAUAGUUGUUUCACCUGUUUGGGCAAUGGCAUGGUUUGUGCUCUUCCAUGCUGAAGGAAUUUGAUAGAUGACAAAACAUAUGAGUAUGCACAGUUGUUGGCAUGCCUUCAUGGCUUUGAGCCUUCUUCGGGCGAGAGAGGGUCGACGGCAUGGUCAUUGGACAAGUGAGGCAGAUUCUUUGUUUGAUCCUUCUAUUGCACACUUGUUCUAUUGGGCCCCUCCCAAGGUCACGGCAUUUGCGGGGUUGGUGGGGAGGAAUACGAUCUUAACAAUAAAUAAUUUACAAAAAAGAUUGAUGGUGUUGCCCAAUUGUUGUCUGAUGUGCUUGAGGGAUGCGGAGAUGGUGGACCAUUUGCUUAUUGCUUGCUUUUUUUCCUUGAAAGUGUGGGAAAAAGCCUUAGCUUCCUUUGGAAUGAUGUGGGUGAUGCUAAGGACAGUUGCAAACCUUCUUCUUGCUUGGCAUGGGGGAGGCUUCGGGAAGAAGAAGAGAGUGGUGUGGAGAAUGGUCUUGCUAGCAAUAUUUUAGGCCAUUUGGGGGGACAGGAACAACUGGAGUUUCAGGAACAAAAUAUGGUCGAAAGCAGAAUGUAUAUAAUAGAGCAAGGAUGGAUGUAAUCAGUUGGGUUUCCUGUCUUAAUUUUAGUCAAAAUGAUUGGCCUCUACUCCUUGGGCUUUAGACUUUAGUUCAUUGUAAUUCUUUGAGCUUUGGCUUCUUUUCUGAUAAAUUCCAGUCUCUCUCUCUCUCUCUCUCUCUCUCUCUCUCUCUCUUUAAAAGAAAAAAAAAAAGAACAAAAGAAUGACAUUCUGUAAAUGGUGUAUAACAUUGUUGCAGAGAUAUGUAGGUCUCCCUUCAAGCUGAACCAUAAAUAUCAAGGGUUCAGAGCUUACCCAAUAUCAAUUGCUGCCAAUCGCUUCCAAGAGCAUUAGCUAGCUGCCUGCCAAUUGAUGAAUUGACUUUACUAAGGGCCUGUUUGAUAGCAUAUCUCCAAAGAAAUUCGGAUCGUUUUAAAUGACUACAAGCUUUGACAACAUGGGGCCCAAGAUGCCAUGACAUUUUUCUGUCCUUUGAUGCCAAAGCUCGCUCAUACAUGAUACAUUACUGUUCGACCUGACAGCUAUAGGAAACAGAUUCCCAUGUUAAGGCCUCUCUCCACUAUAGACGUAAGGAAAUGAAAUCGAGCCUUGGGCAUUUGUCAAAGUGUGUUGGAACCUAAAAGGAUCCAAAUCUCUUUAGAUCUUUGCAACUUGCAAACAUAAAUAGGCCCUAAAGUACGACUUACAAUCACCUUUCUUCCCCUCCAAGUUAUUUGGAUGUUUGGAUGAAGGAUCUUGAAUAUAGAGGCUUAAAAAUUAACCGAACCAAGAUGGAGUAUUUUAAUGUUACUCUAGUAGCAAUGGCCAUGGAGGCAAAACUACUGUUAAAAUCUAUAUCUUGGUUCUAUUAGGGCUGUCAACAAUCCAGGCCAGGGUUUUCUUAGGCCUGUUUUGUGAACUGUUUGGGCUGGGCCGGGGUGGCUGGGCCUAUUCAAAAUUUUGUGUUUGCUUGGCCUAAGCCUGGGCCAUUGACAACCCUAGCUUUGUUAUUCAAAAGGAUGGAGAAAUCGGUGAGGAUGCUUCUUAUAAAAUAAGAACUAGGUGGAAGAAGUGGAGAUGUUCCUUUGCUGUGUUGUGUGAUUGCUUGUGCUAGUGAAAUUUAAAGGAUGUUUUUAUAAGAGUACUAUUGGACCGGCUAUGCCAUAAGGGGUAGUGUUGGGCAAUUAGAAGGCAGCAUGAGCAAUGAUUGAAUGCUUGAAGAGAUGGGGAUGUUGAGAUGAAUGUGUGGGAAUCAAGGUUUUCAAUAAUGGUAAUGGUGGCCGUAAUGGCUAGACUUUAUGGCCGUUACAAUAUGGUCUGUAACGGCCCUAUAACGGUAAAUAAAAAAAAUAGAAAAAUACAAAAUAAAAAAGUAAA
Molecule: long non-coding RNA, 4267 nt
Organism: Magnolia sinica
Lineage: Eukaryota; Viridiplantae; Streptophyta; Magnoliopsida; Magnoliales; Magnoliaceae
Exons: 2
Source: RefSeq, a predicted model, not a curated record